CACUCUUUUGCCUGUCUUUUUCUUUCUAAAAUUUAUCUUUGGGUUUCAAUCAAUGUUCAUCGUAUUAUCAUUCUUAGGAGGAUCAGCGACUUAUCUGGAAUGGGGUCGGUUAAGCUCAACUACAACUGGUUGUAGGUUUAGCUCGCUUAUACAACUGCCGCUUCCAAGCUCUCACACCCAAUUCAUGUUCCACUUCUUCCAAGCAGACACAUGGGGGGAUUUCUUUUUUUCUUUCUUUCUUUUUAUUUUUAUUUUUAAUCCUUCUUUUCUUUUAUUUUCUUUUUUGAAAUGAAACUACGAUGUUAUAUCAAACAUACAGUUGUUGACUUCAGUGAUGUAUUUAAAGUGAACAGAGGGAGAAUACAUGAAGAGAGUUUUGAAUUUACUGGUAAUGAAAUUGUUGUUCAUAUUUGGGCUUCACUCAAGCGGGACAGUUUGAACACAAUGUUUCCUACUCAAACAUAUGUAGACUAAUCUUUCUUUGGCACUCGAAAUGUUUUUUUUUUCUUGUAUUUUUGUACCAAGGUCUGUUAUGGUCAUGCAAUUUUGGAUUGCAGUGAUCUUUCAUACAAUGAUUUCACACUAGAAAAGUCGAUAACAUCUCAGUGUCAACUAGGGAAUGUAUGCAUUGAGGUUGGAAAGCCUCGAGCUUGUGCAACCUAGCUCUCUUACAAUCCAACACACACCUGGAUAGAAGAUGUGCAAUAUCCAAGCUUUCCAUCAGGUGGUUCCCCACUUCUUGAUGCCACAGUCCAAAAAUCAGGCAAGUCCACUCCAUAUGCUUAUUCAAAGUGGAAGUAACUAUAUAGAGUGUAGGCUCAGGGGUCCACAAUGCUUACAUGGAUGCAUGAUCAAAGCUGCUCAUCAGGUGGAGCAUUUGGGGUGAAAUGUGGUAGCCCAGAGGGGGGCUUUGCUGCUUUAUAUGGGGAUGGAUAUGAACUUCAUUCGGGUGUUGCUGACAAAGGUCCUCUAUAUGGCAUGAGUUCUGGUUCUUGGGGUGCAUUUGAGAAGUCUCGCAUCGAGUGUUGCUGAAAUUCGUUGCUUUUUUUUUUUCCUCCUGCUUUUCCUUGUGUCUCAAUCUAUAAAAUUUUCUGUCCAUUAUGUAACCUUUCAUUCUCAGGCUCUCUAUAAAUGAGGCUAGUUGUA
Magnolia sinica is the source of this 1146-nucleotide long non-coding RNA. RefSeq lists it as uncharacterized. The record is from RefSeq and is a predicted model, not a curated record. NCBI's taxonomy places the organism in Eukaryota, Viridiplantae, Streptophyta, Magnoliopsida, Magnoliales, Magnoliaceae. The transcript has 5 exons.